Molecule: non-coding RNA, 69 nt
Organism: Podarcis lilfordi (Lilford's wall lizard)
Lineage: Eukaryota; Metazoa; Chordata; Lepidosauria; Squamata; Lacertidae
Source: the annotation of a GenBank genome assembly
GCUGUGGCUCAGUGGCAGAGAACCUGCUUUGCAUGCAGAAAGCCACAGGUUCAAUCCCUCGCAGAGAUG